This 72-nucleotide transfer RNA is filed under the name Ictidomys tridecemlineatus (thirteen-lined ground squirrel). RNAcentral describes it as "Spermophilus tridecemlineatus (thirteen-lined ground squirrel) tRNA". It matches the Rfam family "tRNA". Rfam says of the family: Transfer RNA (tRNA) molecules are approximately 80 nucleotides in length. Their secondary structure includes four short double-helical elements and three loops (D, anti-codon, and T loops). Lineage: Eukaryota; Metazoa; Chordata; Mammalia; Rodentia; Sciuridae. The record is from Rfam by way of RNAcentral.
CGGGUUGUAGCUCAGUAAUAGAGCCCUUGUCUUGCACACACGAGGUCCUGGGUUCAAUCCUCAGCACCACAU